CCUUGCCCUGCUUGUCCAGCUACAGCUUAAUCCAGUAUAAACAACACAAUUUCAGGACCAGGAGAAGGAACAUGAGAGAAUUCUCAAAGCUGCACCAAAGAAAUAAAGCAAACAGUAACUGGGGUCAAAAUAUUAAU
Pogoniulus pusillus (Red-fronted tinkerbird) is the source of this 137-nucleotide long non-coding RNA. RefSeq lists it as uncharacterized. Lineage: Eukaryota; Metazoa; Chordata; Aves; Piciformes; Lybiidae. The transcript is spliced from 2 exons. The record is from RefSeq and is a predicted model, not a curated record.